UCGAGCGCGGGAAGCGAGUGGAUCCCUUCGGGGUGAAGCUCGUGGAACGAGCGGCGGACGGGUGAGUAACACGUGGGCAACCUGCCUGUAAGAUCGGAAUAACCCCGGGAAACCGGGGCUAAUGCCGGGUAAUACUUUUCUUCGCAUGAAGGAAAGUUGAAAGAUGGCUUCUCGCUAUCACUUACAGAUGGGCCCGCGGCGCAUUAGCUAGUUGGUGAGGUAACGGCUCACCAAGGCGACGAUGCGUAGCCGACCUGAGAGGGUGAUCGGCCACACUGGGACUGAGACACGGCCCAGACUCCUACGGGAGGCAGCAGUAGGGAAUCUUCCGCAAUGGACGAAAGUCUGACGGAGCAACGCCGCGUGAACGAUGAAGGUCUUCGGAUCGUAAAGUUCUGUUGUUAGGGAAGAACAAGUACCGUGCGAAUAGAGCGGUACCUUGACGGUACCUAACGAGGAAGCCCCGGCUAACUACGUGCCAGCAGCCGCGGUAAUACGUAGGGGGCAAGCGUUGUCCGGAAUUAUUGGGCGUAAAGCGCGCGCAGGCGGUUCCUUAAGUCUGAUGUGAAAGCCCACGGCUCAACCGUGGAGGGUCAUUGGAAACUGGGGAACUUGAGGACAGAAGAGGAGAGUGGAAUUCCACGUGUAGCGGUGAAAUGCGUAGAUAUGUGGAGGAACACCAGUGGCGAAGGCGACUCUCUGGUCUG
RNAcentral lists this ribosomal RNA (707 nucleotides) under Halobacillus sp. Its description in RNAcentral is "bacterial SSU rRNA". It matches the Rfam family "Bacterial small subunit ribosomal RNA", at positions 49 to 736 of the family's 1533-position model. Lineage: Bacteria; Bacillati; Bacillota; Bacilli; Caryophanales; Bacillaceae. The record is from RNAcentral.